Molecule: transfer RNA, 76 nt
Filed under: Chlamydiota bacterium
Lineage: Bacteria; Pseudomonadati; Chlamydiota
Description: Chlamydiae bacterium (mine drainage metagenome) tRNA-Lys
Rfam family: tRNA
About the family: Transfer RNA (tRNA) molecules are approximately 80 nucleotides in length. Their secondary structure includes four short double-helical elements and three loops (D, anti-codon, and T loops).
Source: RNAcentral
GAGACAUUAGCUCAGUCGGUAGAGCACCUCACUUUUAAUGAGGGGGUCGAUGGUUCGAGUCCAUCAUGUCUCACCA